UUUCCGUGAAGUCGGAGAGAGCGACUCCGUAUACACCUGGAGACCUCUAACAUAGGUGUUAGAGUAAACUGGCAAUUUAAUCACUUGCCAGUUCACCCCCCGUCUUCAACCUUAUCUCAGACGUAAUCGACAACUGCCGGCCCGACCUUUUGCCCAACCACUUUUGCGAACAGACCUACUUUGCAGACCGACCUCAUGGACUCUAAGCUGUAACUAACCAAGUAUCUCUGACCUCCGUUUUUCACCACCUUGACGGCGUAUGAAACCUGUUAAGCAACAUACAGAAACAGGAAGAUCUUUCUAUUGCCUGAGUCCACCCAGGGAGUUCAAUCUACAUCAGCAGCUACAGUUUCAGCUUUGGGAAAAGGAGCUGAGUUGGUGACUGUUCAGCUAUGUUCCUAAACUGUUCCGUAGAUCAACACAAUACAUUCUUACUGCUGUGGACAAAUUCUGCACUCUGUUGUGUCAGAAAUACCCGGUCUCUACAGGUUAAUCAUGAUGACUGAAGUAUCAUUUCCUUCAGGUCAAAGAUCCACUAGCUUUAAAAUCUCCAAAUUGGUCUCAAUUUAGGAAAUUUUGGACUGAAUUAUGUUUCAUUUUAAGUGACCAAAUGCCAAGUACCCAGCUGUUUUAGCUGUCAUUUUUUACACAUACAGUGUCUGGGAAAAUUCUUGCCUGCAUCCUCCUGAAUCAUCUUCUACCUCUUGCUGAGGAAGUCGUGCCAGAAUUUCAUUGUGGUUUCAGACUAUCCCAUGGGACAAUUGACAUGAUUUUUGUUGCCUGCCAGCUCCAAGAAAAGUAUCAAGAACAAUACCAGGACUUGUAUAUGACCAUCAUUGACUUCACUAAGGCUUUUGAUUCCAUCAAUCAGGAAGCCUUGUUGAAAAUUCUGACCAGAUUUGGAUGUCUAUAAAAGUACAUUAAAAUCCUGAGGCUUCUCUAUGACCAGAUGACUUUGACCAUCCUAUGCAGCAGAUUGAAGAUAGAUUUGUUUGUCAUCAGACCUGGGGUCAAGCAAGGAUGUAUCAUCAGCCCAACUCAGUUGUCAAUUUUUUGGCAGUCAUCUUGGUUCUAGUUAAGGACUACCUUCCUUCUGGAAUCAACAUAGAACACUGAAUGGAUGGAGGUACAUUUUCAAUUGAAGACCAAAGUACUCAAAACCUUCCUUGACCUUUAAUAUGCAGAUGUUUGCACUAUCUUUGUGAAUACUGAGAAAAACCUCCAGACCAAGCUGGAUUUUGGGGAGAGCCUACUGAAUUUUGAGCCUCUUUCUCAACAUCAAGAAGAUCAAAGUACUCUAUCAUCCUGCCCUUGGCCAUGAAUGUGACCCCCUUCCCCAAAUUACCAUUGAGGGAAAGACCUUGGAAGUAGUUGAGCGCUCUUUCUACCUUGGUAGCCACUUCUCUCAGAGACUGAACAUUGAUGAAGAGAUCCAGCAUAGACUCUGGUGUGCAAGUGCCUCCUUUGAGAAAUUGGUUCAGCAUGUCUUUCUUCAUCACUAUCUCCAGAAAGUCACCAAGAUCCAGGUCUACAAUGCAGUCAUCAGCCUCACUGUCCUCUACAGAUGUGAAACAUGGGUGAAACUUGGGUCUCCCUUACUUACCUUUGGCUUUUUUUACCCAUCAUUUCCCCACUCCCUUCCCUUCUCUACUUUUUGUUUUCCUAAUUUCCACCUAUUUACAUUUCCACUGAUAUCCUGUCACACUUGUAGCUUCUUUCAUUCAUUGGAGUCUCAGAACAGCAGAGAUUCCCUAUGCCUGAAGAAGGGUGAUUGUAUCCAAAAACUUGCUAAGAACUUUUCCCAACUACUUAGUUGGUCUAAUAAAAGAUAUCACAUCUACCCAAAGAACCUUGCCUGCCUAUGUCCCGAGACACGGAGUUUCCAACAUUUAUGUGCCCAAGGGUGUAUUUGAAUUUAAAAGAAAAAGCAGCAGGUGCCAUUUUUAGCAUUUUUUGUUGGAAUAAUGAUUUUUACUGACUGUGAAAAUGCAUGUGGGCACCUGAAUAAACCUCAGGAGGAGCCAUGGUACUCAUGGGCACCACAUUGGGAACCACUGCCUUAGACCAACAUGGCUACAACAAAAAACCCAGUAGAAGGCAUGUGUACACUUAUAUGGGAUCAUGUAAAGUAAGGAUGGAAUGGACCUCAUGAUGUCAUCUAAUUCAUCCUCUGCUCAAGGCAGGAACAUACCUGACAACUAAACCAUCACAGUCUGUCUAACUUGCUUGUGAAAAUGUCCAGGAAUGGAGAUUCCACAGCCCCUGAGUAUCCUGUUUGAUGCUUGACCACCCUCCUAGUGAGAAAAUUCUUCCUAAUCUCCAACCUAAAUUUCUCCUGCUGCAGUUAUGAAAGAAACUGAACUUCAUUUUGUCAAUGUCAGGCUCCUGCUCCUCAGGAAUGGCCAUUUUGUGGGGUAAGGAGUAAUCCCAGUGUCCUGAACAUUCAACAAAAUGUAUUUUGAAGUUGUUGCUGAAGACAUGAUGAGUGCUCCACUUUUCUGAACAAUCAAUUCACUUUUCUGACCAGCAGUUUCUAAAUCAUAAAAUACUUUGAUAUAUAUCUAAAAUUAAAUAAAAGAUAACAUUUUGUAAAAUCAGAAGCUAAUUUAUUUUACUAAAAAAGUAAUAUUUUUAGACUUUAGAGGCCAUGCAUUCUCAAGCAUUCCUGAUUAUCAAGGACUUUUGUGAUGUAUACUGGAAACUGCAAAUAAUCUAUUUCUAUGUUUCUGGAUACCAUCACUGUUGAAUUUGAAUGUUGAAGCAGAAAGCUAUCAAACACACAUCUCAUUUUUCUGCCUCUUUUCCAUCAUCAACAAACCCGCUAAUUCACACAAGUCCUUUGAAUAGGCUUGCCAACCCAAUAAAUUAUUUAUUACUGACAAUCCAACAAAGACACUUUUUUUACUGACGUGUAAAAAAAUAUCCCUUGGGUUUGCAGCUCUGUGUGACUGAAGCAACAGUUUUACACCCUGCUGCCCCAACCACAGGGGUCCCCUACUUACCCCAAAACCUGACACCCUGACUCUACCCUGCACUAUGCUGUCCCCCUUCCUGCCCCUCAGCCUGACCCCGCAACAGCUGUUCUCCUUCUGUCCCAGCAUGAACCUCCACCCAUUGUAUCUUCCCCACCCAGCAUGUAGCACUGUCCAACCCACACCACCCUCUUCCCUGUACCUUUGAUGUGAGUAGCUGUUAGAGGCAGGGGACAAGCAAAAGAACUAGGUAAAGCACAUUGUUAGAGAAGGGGAAAAGAUCAAGCAGGUUAUAAAAUCGUGCUUAGACACUCCUGAAAAAUCCUUCUCAGAAAGCAUGUGGCACUCCUGUGUUCCAUCUGUCUUUCACUGCAGUGGUGGCUCUAUGUUUUUAUGGAAGGGAAAACAUUUUUAUGGAUUUUAACAUACAGGUAUUUUUAGGGUUUUUUUUUAAUGGGGUGUCUAAAUUUACAGAGAGUUUGCAACCCUACCUCUAAACCAUGAAUAUGUAACAAAUUAUUUCAGGGACCCAUUUUUAUAAGUACAUUCUGUAUAAGUAGAUACAGAAAAUUCUGUUUCCAUUAUUUCUGAUUCCAUGUUAUCAAAUGACACAUACUGAUUGGCCAACUCUGUACACUGUGACUUAAAUCAAUAAUUUGAUUUCUUUUCUAAGUUAAGAUGAUGUUUCAUCUUUGUACUUGCUAUGUCAGUGUGGUCAAAGGUUACUUUUUAGCUUCUGCAGUAGAUUCGUUAAUUCUUCAGUAUAACCCUUUCAGUAAAACUCUGUUGGUCCUGGGUAUGACUAUAAACUGUAUCUGACUGAAGGGCCUGGUGGCAAAGUGUUGGGGACACUUGUGGCAGGGUAGCUCCUAUAAAAUACUGAAAUGUUGCAACCUCCAAAAUAAAGUGAGUAUUGGGUGCCUCAAAACCUUAGCUUCCACUGCUCUGUGGGUAGUCCUUGGCUGGAGAAAGACUAAGAAACAUCACCCUGACAGAAGUACACCUUCACUGAGACAUUAUGAAGUCAGCAGCAGUUCUUAUUUGUUGCCCUCAAAAGGAAGCUACAACCAUUGAGGAAGUGAACAUCUGGACUUGGUCUGGCUUUUGGAUAUUGUCUCAAUGAAGUAAAAGAGGAAUGUUAUGUCAUAGUUUCAUAGUUUCAUAGUUGGUAGGGUCGGAAGGGACCUGAGCAGAUCUUCAAGUCCAACCCCCUGCCAUGGCAGGAAAAAUACUGCGGUCAAACUACCCCAGCAAGGUGUUCAUCUAACCUCCUCUUAAAAAACCCCAGGGUAGGAGCCAGCACCACUUUGCUUGGAAGUUGGUUCCAGAUCCUAGCAGCCCUGACUGUGAAGUAGCGCCUCCUGAUGUCUAGUCUGAAUCUACCCUCUGCCAGCUUGUGACCAUUAUUUCUAGUGACUCCUGGUAGUGCUCGGGGGAACAGGGACUCCCCCAAUGCCUGCUGGUCCCCUCUGACUAGUUUUUAACAGGCCACUAGAUCCCCCCUCAGCCUUCUCUUGUGGAGGCUGAACAGGUUCAGGUCCCGUAGCCUCUCCUUGUACGGCCUGCCCUGCUGGCCCCUGAUCAUGCGAGUGGCCCUCCUCUGGAUCUGCUCCAAGUUGUCCACAUCCCUCCUGAAGUGCUGCACCCAGAACUGGGCACAGUACUCCAACUGCAGCCUGACCAGUGCCGCAUAGAGGGGGAGGAUCACCUCCUUGGUCCUGCUCGAGAAGCAUCUGUGGAUGCAUGACAAGGUGUGGUUGGCCUUCCUUACCGCGUCCCCACACUGUCAACCCAUGUUCAUUUUGGCAUCAAUAAUGAUUCCAAGAUCCUUUUCUGCCUCUGCACUGAUGAGAAGGGAGUUCCCCAGCCUGUAGGCCUGCUGCUGGUUCUUCCUCCCCAGGUGCAGCACCUUGCACUUGUCAGUGUUGAAACCCAUCCUGUUCUCAUCCACUCACCCCUGUAACCUGUCUAGGUUUGAUUGCAGCCUAUUCCUCCCUUCUAGCAUGCCCACUUCCCUCCACAUCUUAGUGUAAUCAGCAAAUUUGAACAGGGUGCUUUUUACCCCUUUGUCCAAGUCACUGAUGAAGAUGUUGAACAGUGCAGAUCCGAGGACUGAGCCCUGGGGGACCCCACUGCCCUCGUCCCUCCAGGUUGAAAAUGAUCCAUCCACCACCACUCUCUGGGUGUGACCCUCCAGCCAGUUAGUGACCCAUUUGACUGUGUAGGUGUCGACGCCACAGUCCCCUAGUUUUUUAAUGAGAAUGGGGUGAGAGACAGUGUCGAUGGCCUUCCUAAAGUCCAGACAGACUACGUCCACUGCUACCCCUGUGUCUAAGGCUUUUGUGACCUGGUCAUAGAAGGCCACCAGGUUGGUCUGACAGGACCUGCCUCUAAUGAACCCAUGUUGGUUGACCCUAAGCAUAACCUCCCCUGCUGGCCCUUCAUGGACAUGGUCCAGGAUAAUUCUCUCAAAAAGCUUACCCAGGAUCGAGGUAAGACUAACUGGCCUAUAGUUUCCAUGUCUUCAACUCCUCCAUACUCCUGCUAGGCAUACACAUUGGAAGGUCUUGGUGUCAUAGUCAUGGGAUUCUGAACAAGCAAAUUCAUAGGCACCAGUCUAGACCUCUUAUGUGUCCACCAUGAUCCAGAGGGUAGGCAGUUACCUACAACAAAAUGUAUUUAUACUAAUAAGACUUAACUAUACAGAAUCCAUUAUUAGUUUCAAUUCAAAAUAUUAUAAUUAUCUUAAACGACAUAAAUAAGGUAUUAAAAUAUUCUAUUUUAUAGCUUAAUAAUCUAUAUUUUUUCUCCUUGCCCAGCUACAGAUCUAAUUGCACACAUAUUCUUUGUCACAAAACAUCCUAAAUAUGUUUUAGAAGCACUAUUGUAAAAAAAAUGUUAUGUCGUCAUAUGAAAAACUCAAAGCCCCAGCAAUUUUAAAGCCACUAGGAUCCACUGUGUGUUGAUUGGUAACAUAUUUAAUAUUACAGUCUUUAGGAGGUGUUACUUCUGGUUGUAACAUCAGGGCAUCAGCUGUUCAGAGAAGUUUAACACUGCAAUAUUAUCUUCAAAUGAACCAUGUUUUGAUGUGGUAUUUGUAGGAUUUCUCUCUCUCAGGAUUCUAGUCUCUUUUACUCUGGCUUAAACUGCAGGCCUAUAACACUUACUCAGUCUUCCACUUGUCAUGCUCUUGAUGCUUGAAGGUAUCAACAAUUCUGGAAGUGAUCUGUCUCUAACAUGACAUAACAAUUAAUAUUUUAGAUCUGCUUCAUAGACUCAAACACUGAAUUUGCUUUACACUGACAUCUGCUAAUAUUAAAGCUUAAUAUUUUUACUGAUUGACUACUGUAUGCAAAGGACCAAGCUACAUGUCAUAAUGAAAUAUACAGUCUGAAAGUAUGUCAAUAGAGCUGUCAGAAUUAUUUCCUAAGUGGAAAAUUUCAAUAUUUCUGAAAUCAGAAACUGAUUUUUUUGUGGAAAAAUUUUGCCUGAAAACUUCAGUUAAUAAACGUUACAGCAAUGCCACUUCAAAGCUGUAGUCAAGGUAUUUCAUACUCACAUUCUUCUUUCUAGAACCUGGUUCCAUAUCCAGGCCUAUUAAAGUAUAAUACACCAUGAUGCCUCAUGGUCAUGAGUCACUGCUGUAUAUAGAGUCAUUGAGUAGUAGGGCUGGAAGGGACCUCCAACCCACUGCCUAAGGCAGGAUCAUCCCUAUCCCAAUUAUCCCAUACAAGCCGUAAUCUAAACUCUACUUAAGAUUAUUGUAAACCCUGACACAAGACAGAUCUAAUACCCUAAGUUGUCACAGGUAAAGCAGAGGAACUAUAGCAGUUAAUGUCCUGCUUAUAUCAAAUGUUGUCUAUAUCUGCUCAAGUGGUCCUUGAUAGAGUGCUAUGUACCCCACUACAGAGAAAAGAAUAGCUCCCACAGUCCAUACCAAUCUGACCAUGGGGUAAAAUUAUUUCCUGACCCUAAAUGUGGUGAUUGGACUAAUGCUGCAUGAAGGGACCCUCUAGCAAGAAAUGUCCAACUUUGGUCCCAGCAGAAGCAUGGACACACCCCAGUCAAAGACCCCAGCCUUAGCUGUAGGCAACACCCAAUGUCUCCAAAAAAGCUUAAAGACACCCUGACACACAAAGCAUAAAAGUUGUGGGAGAGGGGCAACUAGCAAAGAUCAGAAACAUAGGAAAUACCCAUGGUAAAAUAAAUGCAUAGCUAUGCCUAGAUUAUCUCUGGACAGUGACUGCCUAACCUCUUCUUGAACACCUCCAGUGAUGGAGAAUCCACAACUUCCCUGAGCAGUCUAUUCCAAUGCCUCACUAUUUGAACAGUGAAGAAGUUUUUCUAAUAUCCAAUCCAAAUUUAUUUGCUGCAAUGUCGAGACAUAGGGCCAUACCCUUUUCUCUGCAGCAAGAGAGAGUAGAGCCCAGAACUGCACACAGUACUCCAGAUGAGUCCUAACCAGUACUGAGUGGAAAGGAAAUAUCACCUUCCAUGUCUUGUACCUAAUGCUUCUAUUGAUACAGCCCAAAACCACAUUUGCCUUUUGUAUGCUGCAUCACACUGUAGACUCAUUUUGAGUCCAUGGUCUACUAAGACUCCCAAGUCCUUUUCUAUAGUACAGCCAUCCAGACAGAUGUCAUCCAUUUUUUAAUUCUGUUUUUGAUUAUUCCUUCUAAGGAACAACACCUUGCAUUUGUCCACAUUAAACUUCAUCCUAUUAGCUCUAGCCCAAUUUUCCAAUCUGUUGAGAUCUUUCUGAAUUGCACUUGCAUCUUCCAACAUGUUCACAAUCCUUCUCAGUAUUUUUUUCAUCUUCAGACUUGUUCAAGAAGCUUACUAUACCAGUAUACAUAUAAUUAAUACACAUGUUGAACAACACUGGGCCCAGGACAGACCUCUGUGGGACCCUAGUUGAAAUCUCCUGCCAUUCUGACAUGGACCCAUUAAUAAUUACCCUUUGUUUGUAUCUAUUGAGCCAGUUAUCUAUCCACUUUACGUAUCAUGGGAGUCUUCUGUACACGUGCCUUUUGAAAUUUGUUGUCAAGCCAAGGCACCUGGUACAUAAAGGAGAAUGGGACAUGAGGUCCUCAAUUAUAACUUCCACAGGUAUUUCCAAUCUGAAAACAAAUAUAUAUAUAUAUAUAUAUAUAUAUAUAUAUAUAUUUUUCAUCUGAAAACCUUUUAGUUUUUAGCAGUUUAAUACUUUGAUAAAAAGUAGAUAUUUCCCAUAGAAAACAGGUAUCUUUAAAAUUAUAUUUAAUUUUGUUGAAAAUCCUUUUUUUCAGGGAAAAAAAAAGUUUAAAUAUAAAAUGUAACCAGUUCUAAUGCUUAACCAUGCAUUUUAGUCCUGAAGGCUAGGGACAGACAUUACACAUAAACUCAUUUACCUGUAACAGAACAGAUGUUCAGUGCACAUACGCCAGUUUCAAAAUGGCUGCAACCAGUUUGAGAUAAACCUGGUUGAAUGUAGUAUCAUACUUAACUGAUUUGGGUCAAACCAGUUUAUGUAAUGUGUGUCCCAAACCCCUUCCUGGUUUAACUUAAACUAGAGUCCCCCAGCAUAUGCUCCCAAAUGCUUUGCAGCCCUGGGAGGGGCUGUCUUCUCCAGAGCAGGGCUGGCCCCACCCCUCAGCCUGGCUUCCCCCUGCCCCACCCUCACCCCAUCACCACUCCCUGCUCAAGCAGGGAUUCUCCUCUCUCCCACAGCACUGACCAUAGCUAGCAUAUGGUGUGACAGCUAAUGCUGAGAGGUGUCUGUGUAAGGCAGAGAGGACAAAGCUAGACAGGACAGUGUACACUUAGGGCUUUUUGCAGGUAAGCAACAGAUCUGCUGGUAAUGUCUCUCCAUUCCUUCCUUGGAAAAAGUUGUUUAAGAGCUUGAACUAAUGAGAGAGACUUCUGUUUUCUUGAUAGGGUGCUAAAUGUUGUAUUAUCAACUUGCUGGUCAGGAGCAGUGAGGUGGGAGGAACCCCUCCCUAAUAAGAGCAUCCUACUGAGGCCUGGCCACACACUGACCCCUCAGCUCAGCACUGUAGAAGGGAAGAGAGGGCUGUUGUAGCACCCCCUGGCUUCUAGCCUGUUCCACUGCAGGCAUGUACCUGCAUUUCUUCAGUUCAGAGGGAACGUCUGCAUGGUUGCAAACAAGUUCAGCCUAGCCAGGUAGUCUAACCUACAAAGAUUGAAUCAAUUCAGGCACAGGCUUUUUGAAUAUCUGUCCCUAGCCGAAGUGUUAAAACCCUUGUAAAUCCACAACCAUUUUUGUUUCUUUUAAUUCUAUUACUAACCUUAUAGACUGAAUAAAUAAUGGAUUAGUUCCUGGUAUCUAUUAUAUUAAAGAGUUUUAAAUUUUAUUUUUUAAGAUAUUGUUUUUCAAUCGAUAUAUUGUUGCACUGAGCUUCAUGCUACCUUCAAGAAGGUUUUCUAUAUCCUUGAUUCUUCUUUGUCCAUCAUUCUGUGAGCUUUUAAAAGGAGAGAAAAUUGCCUAUAUCCUUGUUUGUCCUUUGCUUUCAAGGAGACAAACUGUUUCUCCCAAUUGCAGCAAUACAUCUUUUUUUUUUGGAAGGUGGGGGGGGGCAAAAACAGCCCUCUACUAAAGCUGUUUUUUAAAUUGUUUAGUAGGAGUGUAAUGGCUUGAAAUGCAUUACUAGUUUUGUUAUCUUGCAGAUCCUGUAUUCUCAAGAGAGAAUGAUGUUCAUGUUGUGACACUGCCAGCUGGAAGCAAUGUCAUACACAGGGUUUAAGCAGCUUCCUAAAACCCCAAAUCAUAAGCUUGAGGAGGGAAGAUUUUUAUCUAUGGGAAUUCUCAAAAAACGCAAUUACCAAACAUUCAAACUUUCUUGCUGUUCCCUUAGGCCUGCAUUCUAAUAUGGCCCAGCUGCUGAAGUUGAGAGAAAGAGAAGUGUAGCAAAGAUAUAACUGCCAGGAGUAGAAAAAUAAUAUAACAUCAACUAGGAAGUACUGAAAGGUGAUUAAAGUUAAACUGUGCAAGGAUUACCUUCAGCCAGUUGAUGUCUCACUCGGCAUAAUUCUAUUGUCUCGCAAGACAGACUUAUGCCUAGUUUUAGACAUCUUGUAAGACAAACAGAUGCCUUGUUGCUGAAAUUGUGGGAUGGAGAAAUCGGCUUCCUGGACUACCAUAUGUAUAUAUGUGUGUGUGUGUCUCUGGUUUCUGGCAAAAUUAUAUUAUUUAUGAGAACGUUUUAGGGACCUUUGGAGGUUAUCUUGAGAAGAAAACUGAAUACUAUAGGAAGAACUGUGAAAAAAAUAUCCCUCAGGCCAAAAGGAAUGAAUAAACCUCAUUGCACAUUGUG
Alligator mississippiensis (American alligator) is the source of this 10285-nucleotide long non-coding RNA. RefSeq lists it as uncharacterized. The transcript is spliced from 4 exons. The record is from RefSeq and is a predicted model, not a curated record. Lineage: Eukaryota; Metazoa; Chordata; Crocodylia; Alligatoridae.